RNAcentral lists this ribosomal RNA (486 nucleotides) under uncultured bacterium. RNAcentral describes it as "partial 16S ribosomal RNA". It matches the Rfam family "Bacterial small subunit ribosomal RNA", at positions 30 to 507 of the family's 1533-position model. The record is from RNAcentral.
AUUGAACGCUGGCGGCAUGCCUUACACAUGCAAGUCGAACGGCAGCACGGGUGCUUGCACCUGGUGGCGAGUGGCGAACGGGUGAGUAAUACAUCGGAACAUGUCCUGUAGUGGGGGAUAGCCCGGCGAAAGCCGGAUUAAUACCGCAUACGAUCUACGGAUGAAAGCGGGGGACCUUCGGUCCUCGCGCUAUAGGGUUGGCCGAUGGCUGAUUAGCUAGUUGGUGGGGUAAAGGCCUACCAAGGCGACGAUCAGUAGCUGGUCUGAGAGGACGACCAGCCACACUGGGACUGAGACACGGCCCAGACUCCUACGGGAGGCAGCAGUGGGGAAUUUUGGACAAUGGGCGAAAGCCUGAUCCAGCAAUGCCGCGUGUGUGAAGAAGGCCUUCGGGUUGUAAAGCACUUUUGUCCGGAAAGAAAUCCUUGGCCCUAAUACGGUCGGGGGAUGACGGUACCGGAAGAAUAAGCACCGGCUAACUACGUG